UUCUUUCGUACGAGUUUGUUUUCAACAAACUCGGGUUAUUAAACGUGUGCGCUCGCUUGAAACGUCGGAGCGAAGCUCCUCGUUGCGAGAAGCGCGCACGGCUAAAAACUCUUUCGGAAAUUGAUAUUUCCUGCAAAAGUUUUUAUUAGGA
This is a non-coding RNA of Treponema socranskii subsp. socranskii, 151 nucleotides long. The record is from Rfam. NCBI's taxonomy places the organism in Bacteria, Pseudomonadati, Spirochaetota, Spirochaetia, Treponematales, Treponemataceae.